GUUGCCAAAGAUCCGAACCACAGCGAUGGCCUCAUAAGCUAGCUUUGCAUGUACUUUUCCAGUUAUAUCCUGCUCGAUUCCGUUCCAGCUCUGGGUACGCUCAGUUGCACAUGCAAAAACUUUUCCAAACAGGGGGACAAUUUUCCCACAAGCCAAUGAUUCAUGUAAGACAAGCUUGCAGCCUCUUCCAGACCACUUGUUCAGGCCAUCCUCAAAUUUAGGAUUUGCCAUGAUGUUCCCUUCUCCAUAUCCAGUGUCCACAAAUUGAUAAUGACUUGUUUCCUUUUGAUAACUUGUUUUCUCUUGAUAGCUUGUUUCCUUUUGAUAGCUUGUUUCCUUUCCAUAUCAAAAUGAAGAGAAUUUCACAAAUUAAUCAUCACAAAAAGUAUAAAUAAAAUUAAUAAAUAGAUUUAAGAAGAAAAAUUACGUAGAAUUCACUUGGUGGGGAGCUGGAAAUAACUACUGAUUGUAUAAGCAAGUCCACUGCAGCAGAAGGGCCUUCCAAGUAAAAAACGGCACGAUCAGGCUUCUUUGGCAGGGAGAAUUUUCCUUCCAACUUUUCCCACCUUUCCUUUGACAGAGAAAUUCUGCAGGGAUAUAUAACUUACAUUAAGACUAUCUGUAUGUUUCAUUUAAGGAAGAAACGCAAUAAAGUGAAGCAGCAAAUCUAUUACCUUCCAAUGAACAAAUAGUCUGUUGGGGAAUUUCGAUAUUCCACUCUCAAAGUAGCUUGUACAUCAGUGGUUCCCUGAAUAUGUCCUGAUACACCAACAUAUGCAGUAACAUAAUAAGUGGAACCUGGAGAAACAAUGCUUGUGAUAUCUUGCUCCAAGCCCUGCCAACUUUCUGUUCGAUUUGAGACAACUGCAUAAUAACCACCUCGCUUUGUUAAGAAUGCUGGGUGACCUGACUCUGCUGAAACCACAGAGAAACUGCAGCCAUUUGCGUGCCAAGAAUGCUGUCCUUGAGAGAAGUCAUGGUUCGUUAUGACAUUGAUGGUGGUGUUGCCACUUGAACCAGAUAUGCCUUGGUCCAUUAUGGUCUUGAUAGCAGUGUCACCAUAUGAACCAACAGUGCUCUGGUCCAUUGUGAUAUUGAUGGCACCGCUGCUACUUCUACAAGACAUGCCAUGGUCCCUUCUGAUAUUGGCGAUAUCGCUGCUACUUGAACUAACUUUGCCCUGAUCCAUUAUAUUAAAGUUUGAGCAACUUUGAAAUAUCUAUGUAAAAACAUGUAAAGAUUAUUCAAUAGAACAUUCAUAAUAAUAAUAUAACAACAGCAACAUUACAACAAUUGAGGUUUUCGCACUAAAUUUUAAUGGAGAAAAAAUUGCCGCUGCAUUAAAAUUUAGGCUAAUUUAUUUAAAAAGACCCAAUAUUUAUAUGUAUUUACAUUUUAAUUUAAUUCUUUCAAUUUUAGUUUAAUUAACUCAACCUUUAUAUUUUAGUAUAAUUUUAGCCUAUUUACAAAAUUUUAAAUUUAAUAGUCUAACUGGUAUCAAGUAUGUGUAUAUUAUUAUUAUUUAAUUGGUUAAUUAAUUAAAAAAGGCCAAAUAUUUAUUAUUUUAUAUUUUAAUUCAAACGUUUAAAUUUUAAAUAAAUGGAUUUAAUAUUUAUGUUUGAUUAUAAUUUUGAUUAAUUUUUAAAAUUAAAAUUAAAAAUAAAUAAUUUAAUUAUUAAAUAUGUAGUUCACAAUUUUAACUGAUAAAUUUUAUUUUACCGUAAUAAUUAUAAAUAUUUUAUAAUAAAUAUAUUAUUUAAUUCAAAAUUGUAGUAUAUAUAAAAUAAUUAAAAAUAAUAUAUUUAUUAUAAAAUUUUUAUAAUUAUUAAUACAAAAUAAAAUUUAUCUACUGUUAAAUGUUGAUAGCAUAUUAAAUAGUUAGAUUAUUAUUAUUUUUAAAAUUAAAUAUAUCAUUUAAAAUUACACUCUAGCAUUGCUCAAUUCAUCCAAAAUUUAAAUAUUUGAAUUAAAACGUAAAAUGAUGUAAACAAUAAAUUUUUAUAGUAAUUUGAUUAUUAGUUUAUAAUUAAAUAGUAAUAAUACACAUAACAUACUAAUUAAACUAUCAAAUUUAAAAAUUUACAUAUUAAUUAAAAUUGCAUCAAAACAUAAAGGUUAGAUUAAUUAAAUUAAAAUUAAAAAAAUUAAAUUAAAAUGUAAAUAUAUAUAAACUUUGAGUCUUUUUAAGUCAAUUGAUCUAAAAUUUAUUGUAAAAUACUAAAAUUUUACCACUAAGACUCCAUUUGUUUGGAGAAAAUAACUUGUAAUUGGAAAAUAUUUUUAAUUUAUAAAAAAAAUAAAAUAUAUUAACAAUUUAUAUAUAAGAUCUUAAUAAGAUUCUUAAAAUAGGAAAAAUGACUUACUUUUUUAAAAAAUCAAAAUUUAUUUUUAAAAUAAUUUAUUUUUUUUGGUAAAAAAAUAUUUUUUAUUGACUAAAUUUUUUAAAUACCUUAUCUAUUAAAAAAAUAUUUUUCUAAAACAUAUUUUUCAGUGAAAUAAAAGAAGAGUAAUUAUAAAAAAUCAUUAUUAAAACUUUUAACGUUAUAUUUUUUGUAGUGAUUUAAUGACUGAACUUGAAUUUUAUCUCUCAAUACUCUAGGGGUGAAUUUUACACAUUUAAUAAUAAUUUUUAUUUUUAUAAAAAGUUAAUUUCUUGUAAUCUAACAAUAAAAAAAUAUAAACAAAAAGUUUAACAUUAAAAUUGGAGGAAAAAUUUUUCUAUAUAAAGUUUAUAUAGACCAAUUCAUAUGAAACUAUAUAAAUUUAACACUAUAAAUCUAUAAGAUCUGAUCUAGAGAUAAGAAUUAUCGGUAAAUUUAGUUUAACUAACCUCAAUUGUUGGACGAGAGGAGGGAGGUACUUUCUCAGCAUGCUUUAGAAAAAAGCCGUUCACAAGAAUAUCAGUGCCUGCAGGUGGACCUUCUAUGAAAAUCACUACCUUUGUAGGGUAAUCAUUUAGAUGGAAUUUUCCCUUUAACUGUAUCCACUCUUUAUCUGUUGUCUGCAUACUACAGUUUCAAAAAGAUAAUCAUGAAAAUAAAUCAAGAAAAUGGUAAAAAAAAUCUAAAUAAUUUGAUUUGGUUAAUGAAAAUGAUGGAGAUAAUAUAACUAAAUAAAUCUUAAAACCUGGCGUUAUAAUCUAUAUCGAUAUUAAAUAUAAUAAAGUUUAACUCUAAAAUUAAGUUUUUCUAAAAGUAAAUGGGAAAGUAUAAUUUAAAAUCUCUCAAAUUUAUUCAGAUGCAUUUAUAAUCAGGCUAAAUCUGUGAGUGUAUAAGUCUUUUUAUUAUAUUUUUUAUAUUAGUUAAUUUUUCUCUUAUUUUAUUAUUACUUCCUCUCUACUAAAAGAAGAAAUGCCUUUAAAUUUUUAAAAAAUAUGAUAAAAAUAACUUUAAGUAUUCUAUUUGAGUUACUCAAGUAAAUAAUGGCUAAAGUAAGUGUCUAGAUGAUAAAUAAAGCCAUCUGACUCAGAGGGUUGAAUUAAGAAAAUGAUGUUUGCAGAAAUUGAAGGUGAUAAAAGAAUAUUAUAUAUGGAGAUAAUUAGAGGGAAAAAGAGCUAACUUGGCAAUGCCUAUGUAUUCUUCUUGGAGAUCUGUUGUUUGGACGCAUAAAGUAACUCGCACAUCAGCACUGCUAACAUUGUUGCCAAAGAUACGAACCACAGCAAUGGCCUCAUAAGCUUGCUUUGCCUGUACUUUUCCAGUUAUCUCCUGCUCGAUUCCGUUCCAGCUCUGGGUACGCUCAGUUGCACAUGCAAAAACUUUUCCAAACAGGGGGACAAUUUUCCCACAAGCCAAUGAUUCAUGUAAGACAAGCUUGCAGCCUCUUCCAGACCACUUGUUCAGGCCAUCCUCAAAUUUAGGAUUUGCCAUGAUGUUCCCUUUUCCAUAUCCAGUGUCCACAAAUUGAUAAUUACUUGUUUCCUUUUGAUAACUUGUUUUCUCUUGAUAGCUUGUUUCCUUUUGAUAGCUUGUUUCCUUUCCAUAUCAAAAUGAAGAAAAUUUUACAAAUUUAUCAUCACAAAAAUGUAUAAAUAAAAUUAAUAAAUAGGUUUAAGAAGAAAAAUUACAUGGAAUUCACUUGGAGGGGAACUGGUAAUAACGACUGAUUGUACAAGCAAGUCCACUGCAGGAGAAGGGCCUUCCAAGUAAAAAAGGACACGAUCAGGCUUCUUUGGCAGGGAGAAUUUUCCUUCCAACUUUUCCCACCUUUCCUUUGACAGAGAAAUUCUGCAGGGAUAUAUAACUUACAUUAAGACAAUCUGUAUGUUUCAUUUAAGGAAGAAAUGCAAUAAAAUGAAGCAACAAAUCUAUUACCUUCCAAUGAACAAAUAGUCUGUUGGGGAAUUUCGAUAUUCCACUCUCAAAGUAGCUUGCACAUCAGUGGUUCCUUGAAUAUUUCCUGAUACACCAACAUAUGCAGUAACAUAAUAAGUGGAACCUGGAGAAACAAUGCUUGUGAUAUCUUGCUCCAAGCCCUGCCAACUUUCUGUUCGAUUCGAGACAACUGCAUAAUAACCACCUCGCUUUGUUAAGAAUGCUUUGUGACCUGACUCUGCUGAAACCACAGAGAAACUGCAGCCAUUUGCGUGCCAAGAAUGCUGUCCUUGAGAGAAGUCAUGGUUCGUUAUGACAUUGAUGGUAGUGUUGCCACUUGAACCAGAUAUGCCCUGGUCCAUUAUGGUCUUGAUGACAGUGUCACCUCUUGAACCAGCCAUCCCAUGGUCCGAUGUGAUAUUGAUGGUUUCGCUGCUACAGGAAGUAGCUAUGCCCUGGUCCACUGUGGUCUUGAUGGUUCCCCUGCUACUUGAACUAGCUAUGCCCUGGUCCAUUAUAUUGAAGUUUGAAAUAUAUAUGUAAAAACACGUAAAGAUUCUCCCAUAGAACAUUCAUAACGAUAGAAUGAACAAACUGUUUUGCUCUGGGUCUAUAUUGACCCAUAAUGUAAAACAGCAAUGGGAUCUACAUAAAAUUUCAUAAAUUUAUACUACAGAUACAUGUACACACGAUGUAGAGAAGAAUUGUCCAUAAAGUUAGUUCAAUUAACCUGAAUUGUUGGAUGAGGGGAAGAAGAUACUUUCUCAGCAUGCUUUAGAAAAAAGCCAUUGACAAGAAUAUCAAUGCCUGCAGGUGGACCUUCUAUAAAAAUCACUAGCUUUUUAGGAUAAUUAUUUAGAAGGAGCUUCCCCUUCAACUGUACCCACUCCUUAUCUGUUACCUGCAUACUAUAGACCCAAAACGACAAUCAUCGUCAAAUCAAUUCAAGAAUAUGGUAAAAUAAAAUUUAAAUAAUUUAAUUUAAUUAAUGAAAAUAAUAAAAAUGAUAUAACCGAAUAAAUACUAUAAAAUUAAUUCUAAAACAUAUUUUUCUAAAAGCGAUAAGUGUCUUUCUAUUAGAUUUUUUUUCCUAAUCUAUUUCGCCCAUAUCUUAUUAAUUACUUAAUAAAUAGCUCUUUAUAUUUUUUUUUGAAAUAACGUGACUUUUCAUUUUAAUAAUAAUAAUAAUAAUAAAUAUGCAUAUAUUAAAUAAAAUUUAUUAGUAUUAUUAUUAUUAUUCCUGAUUGAUAUAUGACCUUCUAGUUUCUCAGUAUUAAACAUAAAAAAUUUAUAUACAAUUAAAAUAUAUGCGUGCGUGAUCAGAGAGAAAAUUUGAAAAAAAAAAUCUUAAAUUUGAAAUUAGUAAGUAAAAAUAAUUAAAAACAUAUAAUAAUGGAUCAAUUAAUCAUAAUUUUAAAUGCAUAUUAUAGUUAUCUUUUAACUAUUUUUUACCCAACUUUUGAUAUUUUUUAUGUUGAGGCAUUACUCUUAGGUGUUGAUAACUAAUAUUUACGUGAAUAUGAUUAUAAAAUAUCUAAUUAAAUUUAAAUAUAUAUAAAUCUUAUAAUAAUAAAGUCAACAUAAAAAUGAUUUAUAAUAAUAAUAUAAAGAAGUAAGAUGACAAGUAAAAUGAAGUCUGGUCCAAACAGUCCGGACUCUUUCUCUUAAAUUCUCUAUAAAUUGAGAGGCUCUACUCAAUAGAGAAACUUAGAAGAUCAAGUUGAAAUUAUAAAAAUUAUGAAACCGUACGGGUCAAACUGAUUUAAAUAAUUUUUAAAUUUAUUUUUUAUUUAAUAAAAAAUAAUUAAUAUUUUUAAAUUUAUUUUUUAUUUGAUUUAAAAUAGUUAACCCAAAUUAUUUAGUAGUUUUCAACUUGACCUAAAAUAGUUAAUCCGAAUUAUUUAGUAGUUUCAUAUUAACUAUUAUAUAUAAUUUCAAUUUAUUGUAGCAAGCAUCUCCCCCACUAAAUUUUAUGAUAUUCUCGUCGCACCCAUUUUCUACUUAACUCAAAACAAUUAACUCAAGUUAUUUAAUAGUUUCGUGCUAAUUAUUAUAUACAAUUUCAAUUUAUUGUAUUCUGCUGACGUAGGACGUUUCACAUCAAGUUCAAGCUGAGUUUCACACUCUCUUCCGUUAAAUUUGCGAUGUUCUAGUCGCUAUUAAAUUAGUUGCUAAAUCAGGACCAGACCCUCGGAUAUUAUGGUUUGUUAGUAUUUCGAAUGGUUUCAUCUUGUGUCACAUGAAUAGCCAUUUCCUUACAGAUUCACUAAUUCUGCACAAUUUUUUUUAUUUAGGAUGGACUCUGAUACCAAUUGAAACAGUUCGAUCUAAAUAAUUUUUGGACCCACUUCUUACUUGAUUCAAAAUAAUUAAUUCAAAUUAUUUAGUAGUUUUAUACUAACUAUUAUAUAUAAUUUUUAUUUUAUCGUAUUCUCCCGACGUGGAACGUUAGAUGUAAGCAAGCCCCUGACUUUCACAAACCAUGCUAAAAUUACAAAUUAUCCAUUUUACAGAAUUUUCACUCAAAUUUUAAAACUAUCAAAUUAUUUUUUUCCGAAUGUAAAAGGCUUUUCUUUAUCAAUUUAAGAAUAAAUUUUUUAAAUUCUUAAUCUCAUAAAUAAAAAAGAAAUUAAAAUAUCGAGUUUUUUUAUUUCAAAUAAUUUAUUGUUGAAAAUCCAACCCAUUUUUUUUAAAUUGAUAUUUAUUAACUGCUUUUUUAUUUUUUUAUUUCAGUUAUGAAAUUUACGUGCACACUAUUACUUUCUUUCACCUUGUUCCAAAUACAUUAAUAGUUAUUUCAACUAAAUAAAGCCUAAAAAUAUUUACCUGAUGUGGGUAAGUGUCUAGUUUAAAAAUCCAUGUGAAUAAAAGAUUGAAUUAAGAAAAUGCUGUUUGCAGAGAUUGAAGGUGAUAAAAGAAUAUUAUAUAUAGAGAUUAUUAGAGGGAAAAAGAGCUAACUUGGCAAUGCCUAUGUAUUCUUCUCGGAGAUCUGUGGUUUGGACGCAUAAAGUAACUCGCACCUCAGCACUGCCAACAUUGUUGCCAAAGAUACGAACCACAGCAAUGGCCUCAUAAGCUUGCUUUGCCUGCACUUUUCCAGUUAUCUCCUGCUCGAUUCCGUUCCAGCUCUGGGUACGCUCAGUUGCACAUGCAAAAACUUUUCCAAACAGGGGGACAAUUUUCCCACAAGCCAUUGAUUCAUGUAAGACAAGCUUACAGCCUCUUCCAGACCACUUGUUCAGGCCAUCCUCAAAUUUAGGAUUUGCCAUGAUGUUCCCUUCUCCAUAUCCAGCGUCCACAAAUUGAUAAUUACUUGUUUCCUUUUGAUAACUUGUUUUCUCUUGAUAGCUUGUUUCCUUUUGAUAGCUUGUUUCCUUUUGGUAGCUUGUUUCCUUUCCAUAUCAAAAUGAAGAAAAUUUUACAAAUUUAUCAUCACAAAAAUGUAUAAAUAAAAUUAAUAAAUAGUUUUAAGAAGAAAAAUUACAUGGAAUUCACUUGGAGGGGAGCUGGUAAUAACGACUGAUUGUACAAGCAAGUCCACUGCAGGAGAAGGGCCUUCCAAGUAAAAAAGGACACGAUCAGGCUUCUUUGGCAGGGAGAAUUUUCCUUCCAACUUUUCCCACCUUUCCUUUGACAGAGAAAUUCUGCAGGUAUAUAUAACUUACAUUAAGACGAUCCGUAUGUUUCAUUUAAGGAAGAAAUGCAAUUAAGUGAAGCAACAAAUCUAUUACCUUCCAAUGAACAAAUAGUCUGUUGGGGAAUUUCGAUAUUCCACUCUCAAAGUAGCUUGUACAUCAGUGGUUCCCUGAAUAUUUCCUGAUACACCAACAUAUGCAGUAACAUAAUAAGUGGAACCUGGAGAAACAAUGCUUGUGAUAUCUUGCUCCAAGCCCUGCCAACUUUCUGUUCGAUUCGUGACAACUGCAUAAUAACCACCUCGCUUUGUUAAGAAUGCUGGGUGACCUGACUCUGCUGAAACCGCAGAGAAACUGCAGCCAUUUGCGUGCCAAGAAUGCAGUCCUUGAGAGAAGUCAUGGUUCGUUAUGACAUUGAUGGUAGUGUUGCCACUUGAACCAGAUAUGCCCUGGUCUAUUAUGGUCUUGCUGACAGUGUCACCUCUUGAACCAGCCAUCCCAUGGUCCGCUGUGAUGUUGAUGGUUUCGCUGCUACAGGAAGUAGCUAUGCCCUGGUCCGUUGUGGUCUUGAUGGUUCCGCUGCUACUUGAACUAGCUAUGCCCUGGUCCAUUAUAUUAAAGUUUGAGCAAGUUUGAAAUAUAUAUGUAAAAACAUGUAAAGAUUCUCCCAUAGAACAUUAAUAAUGAUAGAAGGAAAAAACUGUUUUGCACAGGAUCUAUAUUGACCUAUAAUGUAAAAUAGUAAUGAAAUUUACAUAAAAUUUCAUAAAUUUAUACUACAGACUCAUAUAGAUCUGAUAUAGAUAAGGAUUGUCUGUAAAAUUAGUUCAACUUACCUGAAUUGUUGGAUGAGGGGAGGAAUGUACUUUUUCAGCAUGCUUUAGAAAAAAGCCAUUGACAAGAAUAUCAGUGUCUGCAGGUGGACCUUCUAUAUAAAUUACUACCUUUUUAGGGUAAUUAUCUAGAAGGAACUUCCCCUUCAACUGUACCCACUUUUUAUCUGUUACCUCCAUACUAUACAUCCAAAAAGACAAUCAUCAUGAAAUCAAUUAAAAAAUAUAGUAAAAGAAAAUCUAGAUAAUUUAAUUUAGUUGAUGAAAAUGAAAGAAAUGAUAUAACUUAAUAAAACCUAAAACCUCAUAUUCCUAUAUGAUAUAGUUAUAAAAAUCUAUAUAAUCUAAAUAUAUAUAAAAACUAUAAAAUUAACUUUAAAAUAUAUUUUUCUAAACGUGAUAAGUGUCUUUCUAUUAGAUUUUUUUUUGUCUAUUUAUCUAUUUUGUCCAUAUCUUAUUACUUAAUAGAUAGCUUUUUAUAUUUUUUUUGAAAGUACGUGAGUUUUCAUUUUAAUAAUAAUAAUAAUAAAUAUGUAUAUAUUAAAUAAAAUUUAUUAGUAUUAUUAUUAUUAUUAUUCCUGAUUGACAAAUGAAUAACAAGUAAAAUUAAGAUGAAAAAGUAAUUAUUCUCUAUUUUAACAACAAAAAAAUAAUAUUUAUAACUUUCUCUUGUUAAGUUUGUAAUAAAAAAAUCGAUGAUGAUUUUUUUACUGUUAAUCUCUAAAGAAAAUAAUCUUUUAUGAUAUUUGAUUUAAUACAGAAAAUGAAGUUAAUUAUUAGCGUAUUAGUAUUAAUCUUAGUUAUGUUUAGUAUAAUAAAAUGAUAAAUAAAAGAAAUUGAGAGAUUAAAAUUUAACCCAGUCCAGAUAUUGCAGUAUAAGAGGUAGUGUAAUGAAUAUGCACUCAGUAGGUGAAUAUUAAUCUGGUGUAAAUUUUAACUCAAAAAAUCAACCAUAGCUAAAUGAGAUUAACUAUUUAUAGGAAUAAAAAUUUAAAAUUUCAAUUAUAAAAUACCAUAGAUCUCUUGGUUCUAUAAAUUUUAUUUAAAAAUUAUUAAUUAAAUUAAUUUUACUAAAUAAAUUCAUUUAAUAUAAAUUGAUAAUUAAAAAAAAAAAAUUACAUGUCACUUAAUUAAAAGAGACCAGUUAACCGCCAAAAUAGGCAAUUGAGACUAUUUUCUCAAAUCCUCUGUGAAUAGAGAAGUGCCGAUGGAGAAACUAAGAAGAUUAAGUCUAAGCUAUAGAAAGCUAUGUUAAAAUUGCAAGUUAUCCAUUCUACAGAAUCUUCAUCAAGUUUUAAGACUAUAAAAGUCAUUCUUUCUCAAAUCAAAGAGGGUUUUUUAAUCGAUUUAAGAAUAAACUUUUCAAAUUCUUAAAUCUCAUAAAUCAAAGAAAAAAAAUUAAAGUAUUGAAUUUCUUUAUUUCAAAUAAUUUAUUAUUGGAAAUUCAACUCACUUUUUUUAUUAAAUUAAUAUUUAUUCCCUAUUUUUUUAUUUUUUAAUUUCAGUUAUGAAAUUUAUGUGUACACUGUUACCUUCUUUGACCUUAUACUAAAUAUAUUAAUAGUUAUUUCAAUUAAAUAAGGUCUAAAAAUAUUCACACGAUGUGGGUAAGUGUCUAAUUCAUAAAUCCACAUGAAUAAAAGGUUGAAUUAAGAAAAUGCUAUUUGCAGAAAUCGAAGCUGAUAAAAAGAAUAUUAUGUAUGGAAAUUAUUAGAGGGAAAAAGAGCUAACUUGGCAAUGCCUAUGUAUUCUUCUCGGAGAUCUGUCGUUUGGACGCAUAAAGUAACUCGCACAUCAGCACUGCUAACAUUGUUGCCAAAGAUCCGAACCACAGCAAUGGCCUCAUAAGCUACCUUUGCCUGUACUUUUCCAGUUAUCUCCUGCUCUAUUCCGUUCCAGCUCUGGGUACGCUCAGUUGCACAUGCAAAAACUUUUCCAAACAGGGGGACAAUUUUUCCACAAGCCAAUGAUUCAUGUAAGACAAGCUUGCAGCCUCUUCCAGACCAUUUGUUCAGGCCAUCCUCAAAUUUAGGAUUUGCCAUGAUGUUCCCUUCUCCAUAUCCAGUGUCCACAAAUUGAUAAUUACUUGUUUCCUUUUGAUAGCUUGUUACCUUUUGAUAGCUUGUUUCCUUUCCAUAUCAAAAUGAAAAAUUUUUUACAAAUUUAUCAUCACAAAAAAGUACAAAUAAAAUUAAUAAAUAG
Molecule: long non-coding RNA, 10983 nt
Filed under: Manihot esculenta (cassava)
Lineage: Eukaryota; Viridiplantae; Streptophyta; Magnoliopsida; Malpighiales; Euphorbiaceae
Description: long non-coding RNA (MESC_LNC003092)
Source: RNAcentral